Molecule: ribosomal RNA, 252 nt
Filed under: uncultured bacterium
Lineage: Bacteria
Description: partial 16S ribosomal RNA
Rfam family: Bacterial small subunit ribosomal RNA
Source: RNAcentral
UACGGAGGAUGCGAGCGUUAUCCGGAUUUAUUGGGUUUAAAGGGUGCGUAGGCGGAUCGUUAAGUCAGUGGUCAAAUUGAGGGGCUCAACCCCUUCCCGCCAUUGAAACUGGCGCUCUUGAGUGGAAGAGAAGUAUGCGGAAUGCGUGGUGUAGCGGUGAAAUGCAUAGAUAUCACGCAGAACCCCGAUUGCGGAGGCAGCAUGCCGGCUUCCGACUGACGCUGAAGCACGAAAGCGUGGGGAUCGAACAGG